Molecule: long non-coding RNA, 1100 nt
Filed under: Salvator merianae (Argentine black and white tegu)
Lineage: Eukaryota; Metazoa; Chordata; Lepidosauria; Squamata; Teiidae
Description: lncRNA (ENSSMRG00000021215.1)
Source: RNAcentral
AUGCCAGAGGCCCCAUCCUCCUUGNCUAUCCAUUUGACCAUGAGGAAUCUUUAUUUUCAGGCCAUGUUCCACGCCCUAACUGUGGAGGACCCCCGCAACGAGCGCCCAGACCAGGAGCCCCUUCGUCCACGUUCCACACCAAGAAGAGGAGGACAAGAUGAAGAUCCUGGCUGUGUGGCAAUCCCACGCGGCCAAGUGCAAAACCUGGCCCCCCGGGUGAGUAGCACCCCACAGGGUAGACCCCCCUUGUUCCCUUGGAGGGGGAACCCUGGCAAUAACAUUGGCUGCUGAUGUCAUAAAGCUACUUGUUGAUGCCGGCCUACUCAACAGUAGCGUUUUUCCAUCAAUUCAGGCCCAGGUCCCAAGGGACAACGNUAAUGAGAUCUUGGCUGUGGAGCAACCCAAGUAGAGGAACAUACAAAACCGUGGGCUGUGAGUAGUAUUCAGAGGAGACCUCCUCUCCGCUGGUCCUUUUUACUUAAUUCCCUCAGCUAGACCCACUCAUUAACCCUUUGACUUCUCAGGUUCUUCAAGCAACAUGUCCUGUGAGCUUCACUUUAGGUUUGGCGAGCGUCAUCCCCUCCCCACCCUCUGUGGCUCCUUCUCUAACUUCUCCUCUUUCCUUUGCAGCUUUGCAGGAGCUCCUGAAGAGGCUGAGAACCAAAGCAAGCGCCGUGACUCCAGAAGAGGGCUGUUGGGUUGAGUAGGUCAACCGAUGUUGCGACUGUACCACUUGAGGGUGAAGGUGGGCUCAGGCAGCUGAAGGACCCUCCAUCCUCUUGGAGGAAGUGGUACAGUCCAGACGCCGGUCGAAGGGAGGUCCCGUCUCCCAUUUUAACCUGACAGCGCAGGCUUAGCUGGUUGCCUGAACUGGAGCCGAGAAGGAAUUUUUCCCUGUUGGAUCCAAAUUGGCCCUGGGAGAAAAUGGGGUUUUUUCGCCUUCUCUGCGCUGCCUUCUCCUUGGGCUGCUCCGGAUUGGCUGACAGCUCAGGGGGAGUUAAAAUGGGGGCUCCUGGGAGGUAAGGUGGUUUAGAGCUGGGUAAUACUCCUCAACGUUCUAGUUUAAUAAAAACCUGUUGAGCUGAAAUGAAUCGCGUCUU